GAUGAACGCUGGCGGCGUGCCUAAUACAUGCAAGUCGAGCGAACAGACGAGGAUUUCGCCCGUCUUACGUUAGCGGCGGAUGGGUGAGUCACACGAAGAUAACCUACCUAUAGGAAUAAGAUCACGUCGGGAAACCGGAGAUAAUACCCGAUAAGAUGUUGAACCGCAUGGAUCAUCAGUGCUCGCCGGACUUGAUGACACUAAUUGAUAGUUCCGCGCCGGAUUAGCUAGUUGGUAAGGUAACGGCUUACCAAGGCAACGAUGCGUAGCCGACCUGAGAGGGUGAUCGGCCACACUGGAACUGAGACACGGUCCAGACUCCUACGGGAGGCAGCAGUAGGGAAUCUUCCGCAAUGGGCGAAAGCCUGACGGAGCAACGCCGCGUGAGUGAAGAAGGUCUUCGGAUCGUAAAACUCUGUUAUUAGGGAAGAACAAAUGUGUAAGUAACUAUGCACGUCUUGACGGUACCUAAUCAGAAAGCCACGGCUAACUACGUG
Molecule: ribosomal RNA, 497 nt
Filed under: uncultured bacterium
Lineage: Bacteria
Description: partial 16S ribosomal RNA
Rfam family: Bacterial small subunit ribosomal RNA
Source: RNAcentral